Molecule: non-coding RNA, 124 nt
Organism: Podospora didyma
Lineage: Eukaryota; Fungi; Ascomycota; Sordariomycetes; Sordariales; Podosporaceae
Source: the annotation of a GenBank genome assembly
GGGUGCAUGGUCUAGUGGUAUGAUUUCUGUUUUGCAUUGCCUGCUCGUCUAUGAUUCAUACAUUUCAUAGUCACCGUGUCGAAGCUCAUACAGACGGUCCCGCGUUCGAUCCGCGGUGCAUCCA